GGGUUCCCUACAACAUCAGGAAGUCUCCAACACCUGCUGUGUGUUCCACGAUUCAACUCAAGUCUGACACCAUCUACCCGGAGAGAGUGUCAGAUACCACAGAUUAGGGACUUAGUCCCAUGGACUGAGCCCCUAUCACAUGCCAACUGUGGAUUUUCUGCUUGUGGGAGGACCCCCCAACAGAGGACAUGCAUGGAAAUUGAAAAACAGAUGGCGUGGUAUAAGUGCCCGACAGUUCCGAAGUUAAGAGACCAGAGGUUGAAUCCAGUUUCCUUCAUUUCUAAGUAAGAUUCCCUGAAUUCACAUUCUCUCCUGAGACCAGACGGGUGACUUAAAUGUGUUAAAGUGAUCAACUAAAAAGAUAAGGAGAGUGGUGGCAAGAAGACUAGAGUCUUUCCAACCCAGGUUUUUUCAACCUGCAUUAGCCAAAAAAUAGUAACAGUAAAAUAAAAACAAUUUUU
RNAcentral lists this long non-coding RNA (461 nucleotides) under Mustela putorius furo (domestic ferret). RNAcentral's name for it is "lncRNA (ENSMPUG00000028179.1)". The record is from RNAcentral. Lineage: Eukaryota; Metazoa; Chordata; Mammalia; Carnivora; Mustelidae.